GGCCUACCAUGGUGGUAACGGGUAACGGGGUGUUAGGGCACGACACCGGAGAGGGAGCCUGAGAAACGGCUACCACAUCCAAGGAUGGCAGCAGGCGCGCAAAUUACCCAAUCCCGACACGGGGAGGUAGUGACAAUAAAUAACAAUACGGGGUUCUUUCGGAUCUCGUAAUUGGAAUGAGUACAAUUUAAAUCUCUUAACGAGGAACAAUUGGAGGGCAAGUCUGGUGCCAGCAGCCGCGGUAAUUCCAGCUCCAAUAGCGUAUAUUAAAGUUGUUGCAGUUAAAAAGCUCGUAGUUGAAUUUCGGGGUUAGUAGGCUGGUCAUGCCUCUGGUAUGUACUGGUCUCACUGAUUCCUCCUUCCUGAUGAACCGUAAUGCCAUUAAUUUGGUGUUGCGGGGAAUUUGGACUGUUACUUUGAAAAAAUUAGAGUGUUUAAAGCAAGCUAACGCUUGAAUACAUUAGCAUGGAAUAAUGAAAUAGGACGUUCGAUCCUAUUUUGUUGGUUUCUAGGAUUGACGUAAUGAUUAAUAGGGAUAGUUGGGGGCAUUAGUAUUCAAUUGUCAGAGGUGAAAUUCUUGGGUUUAUUGAAGACUAACUACUGCGAAAGCAUUUGCCAAGGAUGUUUUCAUUAAUCAAGAACGAAAGUUAGGGGAUCGAAGACGAUCAGAUACCGUCGUAGUCUUAACCAUAAACUAUGCCGACUAGGGAUCGGAUGAUGUUAAUUUUUUAAUGACUCAUUCGGCGCCUUACGGGAAACCAAAGUGUUUGGGUUC
Molecule: ribosomal RNA, 775 nt
Filed under: uncultured Rhizophagus
Lineage: Eukaryota; Fungi; Glomeromycota; Glomeromycetes; Glomerales; Glomeraceae
Description: SSU rRNA
Rfam family: Eukaryotic small subunit ribosomal RNA
Source: RNAcentral